This 479-nucleotide ribosomal RNA is filed under the name uncultured bacterium. RNAcentral describes it as "partial 16S ribosomal RNA". It matches the Rfam family "Bacterial small subunit ribosomal RNA", at positions 28 to 507 of the family's 1533-position model. The record is from RNAcentral.
GAUGAACGCUCGCGGGAGGCCUAACACAUGCAAGCCGAGCGGUAUUGUUUCUUCGGACAUGAGAGAGCGGCGUACGGGUGCGUAACACGUGUGCAACCUGCCUUUAUCUGGGGGAUAGCCUUUCGAAAGGAAGAUUAAUACUCCAUAAUAUAUUGAACGGCAUCGUUUAAUAUUGAAAGCUCCGGCGGAUAGAGAUGGGCACGCGCAAGAUUAGCUAGUUGGUGAGGUAACGGCUCACCAAGGCGAUGAUCUUUAGGGGGCCUGAGAGGGUGAUCCCCCACACUGGUACUGAGACACGGACCAGACUCCUACGGGAGGCAGCAGUGAGGAAUAUUGGUCAAUGGGUGCAAGCCUGAACCAGCCAUCCCGCUUGAAGGACGACUGCCCUAUGGGUUGUAAACUUCUUUUGUAUAGGGAUAAACCUACCCUCGAGAGGGUAGCUGAAGGUACUAUACGAAUAAGCACCGGCUAACUCCGUG